AUUGAACGCUGGCGGCAGGCCUAACACAUGCAAGUCGAGCGGUAACAGGAGAAGCUUGCUUCUUGCUGACGAGCGGCGGACGGGUGAGUAAUACUUGGGUAUCUGCCCGAUAGUGGGGGACAACACGGGGAAACUCGUGCUAAUACCGCAUACGUCCUACGGGAGAAAGCAGGCUUAUGCUUGCGCUAUCGGAUGAGCCCAAGUCGGAUUAGCUAGUUGGUGAGGUAAAGGCUCACCAAGGCGACGAUCCGUAACUGGUCUGAGAGGAUGAUCAGUCACACCGGGACUGAGACACGGCCCGG
Molecule: ribosomal RNA, 302 nt
Filed under: uncultured bacterium
Lineage: Bacteria
Description: bacterial SSU rRNA
Rfam family: Bacterial small subunit ribosomal RNA
Source: RNAcentral